Molecule: long non-coding RNA, 473 nt
Filed under: Rattus norvegicus (Norway rat)
Lineage: Eukaryota; Metazoa; Chordata; Mammalia; Rodentia; Muridae
Description: long non-coding RNA NONRATT034121
Source: RNAcentral
GUCACUGACUGAUCAGCUUCUUUAUUGACCAAUCAGGGAACAAUUGGGGAGCAAUGUUUAUAUAACAUUGAGUAUGGAGAUUCUCAGAAUAAGGAGUGUAGCCAGAUCCGGGGCACAGAGAUCAGCAUUUGAAUAAUACAAGGAUAAUCUUUACACCGGGUAUAACAUCAUGCCUACAAAGGAGAAUAUUUAAAUUUUAAAGUAUUAUUUUAUGUGUAUGGAUGUUUUGCCUUCAUGUAUGUGCACCAUGUAUAUGCUGGUACCCCCAGAGGCCAGAAAAGGACACUGGAGCCCCUGGAACUGGAGUUACAGACUUGAGUCACCAUGUAUGUGGUGGGAAUCAAACCUGAGUCCUCCAGAAGAGCAGCCAGUGCUCUUGACUGCUGAGUCCCCAGCCCCUGAAGGAGAAUAUUUUAAAGUGUUUUGUUUUUAGAAUUAAUGUACAAUAAAGCUGACUUCUUUAAAUUUUAACA